Molecule: transfer RNA, 59 nt
Filed under: Loxodonta africana (African savanna elephant)
Lineage: Eukaryota; Metazoa; Chordata; Mammalia; Proboscidea; Elephantidae
Rfam family: tRNA
About the family: Transfer RNA (tRNA) molecules are approximately 80 nucleotides in length. Their secondary structure includes four short double-helical elements and three loops (D, anti-codon, and T loops). Further hydrogen bonds mediate the characteristic L-shaped molecular structure. tRNAs have two regions of fundamental functional importance: the anti-codon, which is responsible for specific mRNA codon recognition, and the 3' end, to which the tRNAs corresponding amino acid is attached (by aminoacyl-tRNA synthetases). tRNAs cope with the degeneracy of the genetic code in two manners: having more than one tRNA (with a specific anti-codon) for a particular amino acid; and 'wobble' base-pairing, i.e. permitting non-standard base-pairing at the 3rd anti-codon position.
Source: Rfam by way of RNAcentral
AGCGGUUAAGCGUUUGGCUGCUAAGCAAAAGGUCGGUGGUUCAAAUCCACUAGCCUCUC